RNAcentral lists this ribosomal RNA (404 nucleotides) under uncultured eukaryote. RNAcentral describes it as "SSU rRNA". It matches the Rfam family "Eukaryotic small subunit ribosomal RNA", at positions 618 to 1027 of the family's 1831-position model. The record is from RNAcentral.
GUUAAAAAGCUCGUAGUUGGAUUUCGGGAUGGGCCAGUCGGUCCGCCUAACGGUGUGUUUACUGGCUGGUCUGUUCUUCUUCGCAAAGACUGCGUGUGCACUUUACUGUGUGUGCGUAGGAUUUACGACGUUUACUUUGAAAAAAUUAGAGUGUUCAAAGCAGGCAUACCGCUUGAAUACAUGAGCAUGGAAUAAUGGAAUAGGACUUUGGUCUUAUUUUGUUGGUUUCUGAGACCGAAGUAAUGAUUAAGAGGGACAGUUGGGGGCAUUCGUAUUUCGUUGUCAGAGGUGAAAUUCUUGGAUUUACGAAAGACGAACAAUUGCGAAAGCAUUUGCCAAGAGUGUUUUCAUUAAUCAAGAGCGAAAGUUAGAGGAUCGAAGACGAUCGAUACCGUCCUAGUUCU